Molecule: ribosomal RNA, 519 nt
Filed under: Myriophora longisetarum
Lineage: Eukaryota; Metazoa; Arthropoda; Insecta; Diptera; Phoridae
Description: partial 16S ribosomal RNA
Rfam family: Bacterial large subunit ribosomal RNA (bases 392-519)
Source: RNAcentral
ACAUGUCUUUUAGAAUUUAAUUUAAAGUCUAACCUGCCCACUGAAUUUUUUUAAAUGGCCGCAGUAUUCUAACUGUGCAAAGGUAGCAUAAUCAUUAGUCUUUUAAUUGGAGGCUGGAAUGAAUGGUUGGAUGAGAUAUUAACUGUUUCAUAAAAAUUUAUAAUAGAAUUUUAUUUUUUAGUCAAAAAGCUAAAAUAAAAUUAAAAGACGAGAAGACCCUAUAAAUCUUUAUAUUUCAGGGAUUAUAAUUAUAUAGAUAAAUUUAAUUUUAAUUUUUAAAAAUAUUUUAUUGGGGUGAUAUUAAAAUUUAAUAAACUUUUAAUUUAUAAUAUACAUAAAUUAAUGAAUUUUUGAUCCAUUUAUUAUGAUUAAAAAAUUAAGUUACUUUAGGGAUAACAGCGUAAUUUUUUUAGAGAGUUCAUAUUGAUAAAAAAGAUUGCGACCUCGAUGUUGGAUUAAGAUACAGUUUUAGGUGCAGCAGCUUAAACUUAAAGUCUGUUCGACUUUUAAAUUCUUACA